Molecule: small nucleolar RNA, 72 nt
Filed under: Vicugna pacos (alpaca)
Lineage: Eukaryota; Metazoa; Chordata; Mammalia; Artiodactyla; Camelidae
Description: Small nucleolar RNA SNORD112 (ENSVPAG00000018078.1)
Source: RNAcentral
GGGACCAAUGAUGGGAAUGUGUUAUAAAGUAAGAAUUAUGUUUAAUCUAAAUCUGCACAACUCAGGUAAUUU